RNAcentral lists this ribosomal RNA (530 nucleotides) under Bipolaris sorokiniana. RNAcentral describes it as "SSU rRNA". It matches the Rfam family "Bacterial small subunit ribosomal RNA", at positions 389 to 851 of the family's 1533-position model. Lineage: Eukaryota; Fungi; Ascomycota; Dothideomycetes; Pleosporales; Pleosporaceae. The record is from RNAcentral.
CAGCAACUUGCAGGAAUGAGAGUUAAUAUAAUAAGUUUAUUAACUUGCUUGACUAGGUCUUAUAAAGUUCUGGAUAAAGCUUAUUAUGAAAACUUUAUAUCCAUAGGUCUCGACCAAAUCUUGUGCCAGCAGUCGCGGUAAGACAAGGGAGACGAGUGUUAUUCAUCUUUAACAGGUAUAUAGGGUACCUAGACGGUGUGCAAUGGCUUAAAUAAGUACCUGGUACACUUGAGUUUGAUAUGUGAGAGGAAUAUGUCGGAAUUGUUGGAGGAAAGAUGAAAUUUGUUAAUACCAAUAGGACUGAUAACGGCGAAGGCAAACCUCUAUGUACAUGUACUUGCUAUCUCUCUAUUAGAGAGGAACAGAAAUUUCUCUUAUAAAAAAUCUUAUAUAAAAAAAGAGGAAAACAGCAAUGUGCUAUAACUGACGUUGAGGGACGAAGGCUCGGAUAGCGAAUAGGAUUAGAUACCCCAGUAGUCCGGGCAGACAAUGACGAAUGCCAUAGGUUGGCUUUAAGGCGGAACUAUAAA